UGUUGUAAUGUACUUGUACUACAUCAGUUGAUCUUGGCCAUGUCAGUGCGGAUAUUUUUACUCGCUGUUAUGACUUGCUUCUUAUGCUCUGCAGUAUAUCUGUUUCCACGUCUUAUGAGAAUUCAUACACUGCCUUCUCAUCGAUUGCCACCACCUCCACUUCAAAGUGACUUUGAAGGGAUAAAUAGGAACAUUCAAGAUUCACUGUUGCAGUCUGCCUACAACGUACCUCCCAUAAAAUGCCUACCAAAGGGACAAUGCCAGCCAACCCGACACAUCAUGUUUCUAAAAGUGCACAAAUGCGGCUCAACUACAGUGAGGAAAAUUUUAGAACAGGCUACUCUUAAAUAUAAGUUAAAACGUCUUUCUCCGAAGCAUAACAACAUAUUUUACCCAAAAUCUAAGUUCAAUUCGACCCGCAAGAAAAUAACCGUUAACGACGCCAACUAUAACCCGAAUGUAACCUAUGAUAUAAUUUUCAAUCACAUGAUUUUUGACUCAAGAGUAAUAGAAACCAUGAUGCCGAAUGAUACGUUUUAUAUUGGUAUAGUUCGCGAACCAUUUUCUCAGUUUCAAAGCGGGUUCAAUUUUUUUCAUAUUUCAAGUAAAUUCAAUUUAACAAACACCACGAACCCGGUCGUGGAAUUUAUGGAAAAUCCAUACAAGUAUUGGACCGACGCCUAUGUCACAACCCGUGUAGGCUUCUUGAGAAACGCCAUGAUAUAUGCGUUUGGGUUCCCAGACGAUAGAAAUGAUCUUAGGAACAACGACAGAUUCAUUGCCGAGUACAUUGAUUUCUUGGACAAGAAGUUCGAUUUUGUAAUCGUCUUGGAAAUGUUGGAUGAAAGUUUGGUGCUACUACGCCGCUUGCUGUGCUGGGGUAUGGACGACGUCUUAUAUGUUGUUUCUAACAAACAGGAAUAUGAAUAUAAAAAUGUGAAAGACGAAAUUACUGUAAAGAAACAUAGGCAAUGGAGCAAAGCUGACUAUCAGUUAUAUAAUCACUUCCUGACAAAGUUACAAAACACUCUUAUGUUGCAAGGGUCGGAUUUCAAUCGUGAGGUGUUGCUUUUCCGUAAAGCAAUCUCGGCACUCGGCAAAUGUAAGCGUUCACGUUUAGAAGUUUGCAAAAAUAAUUUCAAAAAUCUAUUAGCAGGCAUAUAUCCACAUUGCUAAGUCUUCAGCAAUUCCAGAGCAACUGAGUGAUGGUGGAAAUCAUAGUUUUAAAUAAUGGAAAAGAGGUGACAACCUUAGUUUAAAAGACAGGAGUACAACUAGCCUAGCAGAUGAAUAAUUAAAGCUGUGCAAAUUAAUUUCAUGAAUUAUUUUAUCACUCACGGUAUGUGGACUUGCAGUGAUGGGCGCUGGCCAAAGCUGUGAAAUUCACCGGAUAAAUAGGAACAUUCAAGAUUCACUGUUGCAGUCUGCCUACAACGUACCUCCCAUAAAAUGCCUACCAAAGGACCAAUGCCAGCCAACCCGACAUAUUAUGUUUCUAAAAGUGCACAAAGGCGGCUCAGGAACAAUGAAGAAAAUUUUAGAACAGGCUUCUCUUAAAUAUAAGUUAAAACGUC
Lingula anatina is the source of this 1574-nucleotide unclassified non-coding RNA. The record is from RefSeq and is a predicted model, not a curated record. Lineage: Eukaryota; Metazoa; Brachiopoda; Lingulata; Lingulida; Lingulidae.